GACGAACGCUGGCGGCGUGCUUAACACAUGCAAGUCGAGCGGUAAGGCCCUUUCGGGGGUACACGAGCGGCGAACGGGUGAGUAACACGUGGGUGACCUGCCCUUAGCUCUGGGAUAAGCCUGGGAAACUGGGUCUAAUACCGGAUAUGACUCCAUAGCGCAUGUUGUGGGGUGGAAAGCCUUGUGCGGCUAGGGGAUGGGGCCC
This 205-nucleotide ribosomal RNA is filed under the name uncultured bacterium. RNAcentral describes it as "partial 16S ribosomal RNA". It matches the Rfam family "Bacterial small subunit ribosomal RNA", at positions 28 to 232 of the family's 1533-position model. The record is from RNAcentral.